Molecule: small nuclear RNA, 136 nt
Filed under: Colobus angolensis palliatus
Lineage: Eukaryota; Metazoa; Chordata; Mammalia; Primates; Cercopithecidae
Description: U4 spliceosomal RNA (ENSCANG00000011660.1)
Rfam family: U4 spliceosomal RNA
About the family: U4 small nuclear RNA (U4 snRNA) is a component of the major U2-dependent spliceosome. The structure of U4 snRNA from yeast and human has been reported.
Source: Rfam by way of RNAcentral
AGCUUUGCGCAGUGGCAGUAUCGUAGCCAAUGAGGUUUAUCCGAGGCGCGAUUAUUGCUAAUUGAAAGAACAUUAUCAGGCAAAUAAGAAAACAAAAUUAUUUUAUCAAUGUUAAUUUCCUGAUUUUAAUAAUUAU